This 499-nucleotide ribosomal RNA is filed under the name uncultured bacterium. RNAcentral describes it as "partial 16S ribosomal RNA". It matches the Rfam family "Bacterial small subunit ribosomal RNA", at positions 28 to 507 of the family's 1533-position model. The record is from RNAcentral.
GACGAACGCUGGCGGUGUGCCUAAUACAUGCAAGUCGAGCGAAGUCUUUCUGGUGCCUGCAUUAGAAAAAUUUAGCGGCGAACGGGUGAGUAAAAUGUAACGAACUUGCCUUAUAGAUUGGGACAACCAUUGGAAAAGAUAGCUAAUAACGGAUAACAGCAUUCCUCGCAUGAGAGAUAUUCAAAAGUUGGUUAUGCUUAGACUAUGAGAUGGCCUUGUGGUGCAUUAGCUAGUUGGUGGGGUAAAGGCCCACCAAGGCGACGAUGCAUAGCCGACCUGAGAGGAUGAUCAGCCACACUGGAACUGAGACACGGCCCAGACUCCUACGGGAGGCAGCAGUAGGGAAUCUUCCACAAUGGGCGAAAGCCUGACGGAGCAACGCCGCGUGAGUGAAGAAGGAUUUCGGUUCGUAAAGCUCUGUUGUUAGGAAAGAAAAGAUAUAGGGUAACAAUCCGUGUAUCAGACGGUACCUAACCAGAAAGCCACGGCUAACUACGUG